Molecule: transfer RNA, 57 nt
Filed under: Capra hircus (goat)
Lineage: Eukaryota; Metazoa; Chordata; Mammalia; Artiodactyla; Bovidae
Also listed under: 1 other name
Rfam family: tRNA
About the family: Transfer RNA (tRNA) molecules are approximately 80 nucleotides in length. Their secondary structure includes four short double-helical elements and three loops (D, anti-codon, and T loops). Further hydrogen bonds mediate the characteristic L-shaped molecular structure. tRNAs have two regions of fundamental functional importance: the anti-codon, which is responsible for specific mRNA codon recognition, and the 3' end, to which the tRNAs corresponding amino acid is attached (by aminoacyl-tRNA synthetases). tRNAs cope with the degeneracy of the genetic code in two manners: having more than one tRNA (with a specific anti-codon) for a particular amino acid; and 'wobble' base-pairing, i.e. permitting non-standard base-pairing at the 3rd anti-codon position.
Source: Rfam by way of RNAcentral
UGGCUUAGACGGUAAAGCAUCUGCCCGCAAUGCAGGAGACCCAGGUUCGAUCCCUGG